RNAcentral lists this ribosomal RNA (427 nucleotides) under uncultured bacterium. RNAcentral's name for it is "bacterial SSU rRNA". It matches the Rfam family "Bacterial small subunit ribosomal RNA", at positions 355 to 774 of the family's 1533-position model. The record is from RNAcentral.
UGGGGAAUUUUGGACAAUGGGCGAAAGCCUGAUCCAGCAAUGCCGCGUGUGUGAAGAAGGCCUUCGGGUUGUAAAGCACUUUUGUCCGGAAAGAAAUCUGUCUGGCUAAUACCCGGACGGGAUGACGGUACCGGAAGAAUAAGCACCGGCUAACUACGUGCCAGCAGCCGCGGUAAUACGUAGGGUGCGAGCGUUAAUCGGAAUUACUGGGCGUAAAGCGUGCGCAGGCGGUUUUGUAAGACCGAUGUGAAAUCCCCGGGCUUAACCUGGGAACUGCAUUGGUGACUGCAAGGCUAGAGUGCGUCAGAGGGGGGUGGAAUUCCGCGUGUAGCAGUGAAAUGCGUAGAGAUGCGGAGGAACACCGAUGGCGAAGGCAGCCCCCUGGGAUGACACUGACGCUCAUGCACGAAAGCGUGGGGAGCAAACA